This 71-nucleotide transfer RNA is filed under the name Sporomusa ovata. RNAcentral describes it as "tRNA-Gly-CCC". It matches the Rfam family "tRNA". From Rfam's summary of the family: Transfer RNA (tRNA) molecules are approximately 80 nucleotides in length. Their secondary structure includes four short double-helical elements and three loops (D, anti-codon, and T loops). Further hydrogen bonds mediate the characteristic L-shaped molecular structure. tRNAs have two regions of fundamental functional importance: the anti-codon, which is responsible for specific mRNA codon recognition, and the 3' end, to which the tRNAs corresponding amino acid is attached (by aminoacyl-tRNA synthetases). tRNAs cope with the degeneracy of the genetic code in two manners: having more than one tRNA (with a specific anti-codon) for a particular amino acid; and 'wobble' base-pairing, i.e. permitting non-standard base-pairing at the 3rd anti-codon position. Lineage: Bacteria; Bacillati; Bacillota; Negativicutes; Selenomonadales; Sporomusaceae. The record is from RNAcentral. RNAcentral also lists the same sequence under 1 other name.
GCGGGUGUAGCUCAAUGGUAGAGCUCUAGCUUCCCAAGCUAGCUACGAGGGUUCGAUUCCCUUCACCCGCU